RNAcentral lists this long non-coding RNA (2218 nucleotides) under Homo sapiens (human). RNAcentral's name for it is "HSALNT0161572". The record is from RNAcentral. Lineage: Eukaryota; Metazoa; Chordata; Mammalia; Primates; Hominidae.
GUCCUUUGCAGGGACAUGGAUAAAGCUGGAAACUCUCAUUCUCAGCAGACUAAUACAGGAACAGAAAACGAAACACCACAUGUUCUCACUCAUAAGUGGGAGUUGAACAGUGAGAACACAUGGAUGCAGGGAGGGGAACAUCACACACAGGGGCCUGUCAAGGGGUUGGGGGCUGGGGGCGGGAUAACAUUAGGAGAAAUACCUGGUGUAGAUGACAGGUUGAUGGGUGCGGCAAACCACCAUGGCACAUGUAUACCUAUGUAACAAACCUGCACAUUCUGCACAUGUAUCCCAGGACAUGAAGUAUAAUAAAAGGCAUUGCUAAGUGAGGGACUUUGUCCCCCUAGUUUUAAUUUAUUAAGAAUAUUAUGCACAGGGCACUCUAGGACUCUAGACGUAUUAACAUCAAAUGUCAGGGAUCUCUCAAAAUAUUUCUCGAUGAAUGAGUAUUGAGUUCGGACUUUGGUCUGAGAUUAAUGAAAGUUGAAUCGGGGGGUAUUUUGAACAAUGUAAAAUAUACUCAAUUUAUGUGUGAAUCAAUCUAGCCUGGAAAUGUAAUAUUAAACGUUGAUUAUGUUGCUUUGUAUCUGCUGUGUCUCUUUCCAGGUUCAGGCAUUAGCAAUUAUGUUUCAGAGGCCUCAGUUUUCAUUCUGUCUUGGGAAUCAAGGGAUGUUAGAAGGUCCCUUCCAGAGGGCAAUUAUUUUUUGGCAUUUCCAUGAGAGAUGAGCUCUAUUGGUGACUGGUUCAUAAACUCCAGGUCCAGAAGCAGAGGGGCUCAUGACCAAGCUUUGCUGUGUGCAGCAGCCUUCUCAGAUGCUUGCUCUGGGCAACCACUCUUCAGAUGCAGCCCCGCAGGGCUCUGAAAGCAGAGCGUGUCCUUCAGCACCCCCUUUCCUGAAGUUGUAGCCAGCUCUGCCGGGCUGCCUCCACCACUUUCAUGGCAUCAGCUAACCAUAGUGCUUCCAUUUUCAUCAGGAGGCUUAUGCAUAAGCUUAUAUUUAAAAUGUGGUCAGAAAAAUGUCUACAAGUAGAUAUUUGAGCUAUACUUCAUGUUGCACGGUUCAACAUGAACCACUAAUUGACCCACUUCUAAAAAAAUCACCUGCAAUAUAAUACCGUCAAUAAAUGGAUGUUAAUUUUUUUGUAUUUAUAUUUUAAACCUAUUCAUACGUCUCAGUGUAUGUGUGUUGUAAAUCAAAGAUGACCGAGGCAAGUCUCAAUUAUUUUAAGAGGUUUAUUUGCCAAGGUUAAGGACAUGCCUAGGACAAAAGAACACAAAAUCAUAGGAAAAAUCUGUGGUCUGUGCUUUUUUCCAAAGAGAAUCUGAGGACCUCAAUAUUUAAAGGGAAAAAAGCAGGUAUUGGGGGAAAGAGGAAGAAGAAAAAUCUUUUUAAAGGGUGGUAGAUAAAAGUGGCAAGAGGUUGCAUCCUUUUUAGUCUCGGAUCAGCAUUCUCUGAAUCUACAUUUUACAUGUGAGAGGGGGUAGAGGAAUAGUCACUUAUGCAUUCAACUUGUCCUCAGUGAAUCUGCAUUAUUACAUAACCUUAAAUAAACAGAGGGUAGAGGAGGCAGUAAGAUAGGCAUUUGUCUCAGGUGAGUGGAGAGAUGACUUUUCAGUUCUGUCCUUUGUCCCAUACCUGAGAAGAUCAGCGAUGAAUUUACACGGUCAGAGUGAAAUUCAACAGAACUGCUUUAGGGUAAAGAUUGUGGGGCCAACCAGGAAUUCCCUUGUGGGAAAAUUGUGAGGGAGGUAUAUACCCUUUCAUCUCUGUAGCUGUCUUAUUUAGGAACAAAACUGGGGGGCAGGUUUGCAUGACCCAGUUCCCAGCUUAACUUUCCCCUUUGCCUUAGAGAGUUUGGGGUCCCAAGAUUUAUUUUCCUUUCAUAGUAUAUACACACACAAUCAUUUGUAUGCACACAUAUACACUUAUGGAUGUGUAUUUGUAAGUAUCAGUAUUUAUUUAUAGUGACUAUAUAUAAUCUUUCCAAAUAAUCAGUCUGGAGGUCAGCUGAACUUUCUUAGACUCUUUUUAUCAUGCAGUUGUGUGUUUUUUCAAUGGAGGUGAGAGAUGUUAAAAUGAUACUGUGUUGAUAAUGUUAUAAUUGAAGCUCUGGGAUUCUCUCCCUGGCAAAAUAAAAAGUGGGUGAUUCAGUAUUGUCUUCAGGUUAUUUUUCUUUAAUUUUGAUGGUCCAUGAUAUUUAAAAACAACCACAAACA